UUUGCAGUGGAUGGGAUCCGUAAACUAUACGGCUUUAAGAGCCAACCAGGGAUUCUGAGGUGUCUUCCUUGGUUGACUACAUCCAUGAGACGACAAAACACACUGUGCAAAGGACCUUGAGAACAUCACCACUCUACAGGAAGACACAGUCCAGUAAUGGGUGUCAGAUGUUCAGCAGUGGACGACAGGACCAACCAAUCAAAAUGACUUGCAGAACGCCAUUGAGGACUCUAUUUGAGCAUUAAGCAGCAAAGAUUUCAGCUGUAUCGUCAGGCUGGCAGUACUGAGGCAUUUACGGAGACGGGACAUGAGGGUCUACUCUGCGUGCUCAAGAGAAGAUUGCACAAAGUUCAAGCUCAGCAGGCUGCAGUGGGUCCGACAUAUUCUGGAACGGCAACAAUG
Hippoglossus stenolepis (Pacific halibut) is the source of this 402-nucleotide long non-coding RNA. RefSeq lists it as uncharacterized. The record is from RefSeq and is a predicted model, not a curated record. The transcript has 5 exons. NCBI's taxonomy places the organism in Eukaryota, Metazoa, Chordata, Actinopteri, Pleuronectiformes, Pleuronectidae.